CUUGAUCGACCCGAGCCACAGCGGCUGGGCGGCUGGACGAUCCUGUCCGUACGUCGAUAAAAGGGCCUGAGCUUC
RNAcentral lists this antisense RNA (75 nucleotides) under Mycobacterium asiaticum. RNAcentral describes it as "ASpks TB sRNA". It matches the Rfam family "ASpks TB sRNA". The record is from Rfam by way of RNAcentral. Lineage: Bacteria; Bacillati; Actinomycetota; Actinomycetes; Mycobacteriales; Mycobacteriaceae.